This is a long non-coding RNA of Chinchilla lanigera (long-tailed chinchilla), 331 nucleotides long. RefSeq lists it as uncharacterized. NCBI's taxonomy places the organism in Eukaryota, Metazoa, Chordata, Mammalia, Rodentia, Chinchillidae. The transcript is spliced from 4 exons. The record is from RefSeq and is a predicted model, not a curated record.
GCAGUGGCAGUGUCGGGGGCUGGAAGGGCAAGGGCGAAGGAGUCAAGAACCUGAUUUCUUCCCGCCCUGCUUCUCCCCCUCCUCUGCCGUAUUCAUUGACUCAGCGCAGAAGUCUGAUCUGCGCUGGGCGCUAAGCAGGCUGAUCACUUCAGCCAGUACGACAUCUUCCUCUGGAAGAAAGAGCUAAAGGCAUGGCAGAGCUCACUCCAAGGCAGAUAUUCCUUAUAAGUUUCACUGCCUCUCAAGCAAUAUCUAAAUGAUGAACGAACAUUGGAAAAUGACCAAGAAUCAAGACAAAUCUGCUGGUUUGACUGGUUUGGAAGCAGUUUUA